UGGUAAAAGAUCCUUUCCAUGCUAACUGUUUACCAGUUCACAUAGGAACGUUGGUGGAGCUCGGAAAAUCAAAUGAGUUAUUUUACCUCUCACACAGACUUGUAGACUUGUACCCAAACAAUCCAGUAUCCUGGUUUGCUGUCGGCUGCUACUAUCUUAUGGUUGGCAACAAAAACGAACACGCUCGGCGUUACCUUAG
Long non-coding RNA from Nematolebias whitei (Rio pearlfish), 199 nucleotides. RefSeq lists it as uncharacterized. The record is from RefSeq and is a predicted model, not a curated record. The transcript is spliced from 3 exons. NCBI's taxonomy places the organism in Eukaryota, Metazoa, Chordata, Actinopteri, Cyprinodontiformes, Rivulidae.